CUUUGGUAAUCUCAAUGAUUUUCUUUAUCAAAUUUUUCACAUAUUGUACAGUUCAUUAAAUUCCGAUCUGCUAUAUAAUGCAACCAUUCACGAUCUUUUUCCAAUGAUUUUUGGUAUUUGCGUUUCCUUUUGUCACUUUCGUAUACUUUAUUUCGAUCUUCUAUUUGAUUUUCAGUUAUUUUAAUUUUUUUGUCCCGCGGUUUAACUCCUUCCAAAAACCAGCUGGAAAGGAAUAGUAAUUCUGAUACUUCUGUUAUCUUAGUUGUAAUGAUAUUUAUACGACUUUGGUCGUAUAUUGGUAUCACGUUGUUAAUAGUUGCAGGUGAGCCAUCCCCAAAGAUAAUCAAAUAUAUGACCUCCUUAUCUAUACAUGCUAUACAUGCUUCUACAUAACCCACUGGUG
RNAcentral lists this long non-coding RNA (403 nucleotides) under Mytilus galloprovincialis (Mediterranean mussel). The record is from RNAcentral. Lineage: Eukaryota; Metazoa; Mollusca; Bivalvia; Mytilida; Mytilidae.